This 479-nucleotide long non-coding RNA is filed under the name Ananas comosus (pineapple). Its description in RNAcentral is "long non-coding RNA (ACOM_LNC002771)". The record is from RNAcentral. Lineage: Eukaryota; Viridiplantae; Streptophyta; Magnoliopsida; Poales; Bromeliaceae.
GUAGCUUUUACGACUACAUUAUUUAUAAAUGGUCAAAAUCACUAUAUACACAACAAUUUUCUCAUAUUUUACUUUACUCUCAUCAAAAACAUUAAUUUAGCUCUUCUAGUAUAAUUAAUCUCCUUAAGAACUAAGCAAAUAAUGUGUGUGAGAGAGAGUCCGGCUACUAUAUUCUUAUGAGUAUAUGUUCCUUUAUAGUUAUAAAUUUUCGGCCGUUAAAUUUAUUGUUUUGAUCAUUUUCAUCUGUUAAAUCAUACUACCUCUUUGAUCAUUUCCAUCUUAAUCGGAGAUCACUAUCAUCCUAGCUAACUGCAUAUCUUUUCACCAAACGACUAAAAAUUUAUGAGUAUAAAAAGGUCUAUACUCAAUUUACAGAGUCAAAACAUGCAAGCUCUUUCAUUACAAACACUUUUCAAAUUUAGGUAAAAAUCUUACAUAUUUUAAUUCUAUCAAAAGUCAACAUUUUACAUACAUUAAUU